This 495-nucleotide ribosomal RNA is filed under the name uncultured bacterium. RNAcentral's name for it is "bacterial SSU rRNA". It matches the Rfam family "Bacterial small subunit ribosomal RNA", at positions 30 to 518 of the family's 1533-position model. The record is from RNAcentral.
UGAACGCUAGCGACAGGCCUAACACAUGCAAGUCGAGGGGCAGCACAAGGAGCAAUCUGAGGUGGCGACCGGCGCACGGGUGAGUAACACGUAUGCAACCUGCCUGUAAGCGGGGAAUAACCCGUCGAAAGACGGACUAAUACCGCAUAAUACUAAAUUACUGCAUGGUAAUUUAUUUAAACAUUUAUGGCUUACAGAUGGGCAUGCGCAUGAUUAGCUAGUUGGAGAGGUAACGGCUCCCCAAGGCAACGAUCAUUAGGGGUUCUGAGAGGAAGGUCCCCCACACUGGUACUGAGACACGGACCAGACUCCUACGGGAGGCAGCAGUGAGGAAUAUUGGUCAAUGGACGAGAGUCUGAACCAGCCAAGUCGCGUGCAGGAAGAAUGUUCCCUAUGGAUUGUAAACUGCUUUUGCAGGGGAAUAAAGUGCAUCACGUGUGAUGUUUUGUAUGUACUCUGCGAAUAAGGAUCGGCUAACUCCGUGCCAGCCGCUGC